UUGAACGCUGGCGGCAUGCCUUACACAUGCAAGUCGAACGGUAGAGGGGCAACCCUUGAGAGUGGCGAACGGGUGAGUAAUAUAUCGGAACGUGCCCAGUCGUGGGGGAUAACACAGCGAAAGCUGCGCUAAUACCGCAUACGAUCUAUGGAUGAAAGCGGGGGAUCGCAAGACCUCGCGCGAUUGGAGCGGCCGAUAUCAGAUUAGGUAGUUGGUGGGGUAAAAGCCCACCAAGCCGACGAUCUGUAGCUG
This 252-nucleotide ribosomal RNA is filed under the name uncultured bacterium. Its description in RNAcentral is "partial 16S ribosomal RNA". It matches the Rfam family "Bacterial small subunit ribosomal RNA", at positions 30 to 289 of the family's 1533-position model. The record is from RNAcentral.